UUGACCACCUCACUCUGGAGAAGAAGUUCUCAAAAAGAGAUGCCUCAGGGGCUAGAACUGGUACUGGCCUUUCCGAGAAGCGGAGACUGAAUCCCAGCACCCCCUGUAACUGCAGUUCCGGGUGAUUCCAUGCCUCUGGUCUCUGUGGGCACCUGCACUAACAAGCAUAUACCUACCCCCCAAUCCAAAUAAGCAGGCAUGGCAUCACACCAUGGAGGCAAAGGCAGGAGGAUCUCUGUAAGUUCAAGGCAAGCGUGGUCUACACAGACAGACACUGUCUCAAAAAGUAAAAACCAAAAGGCAGGCACGGUGGUGCAGGCCUUCAAUCCCUGAACUCCUGAGGGCAGAGGCCAGUUGGUCUACACAGCAAGUUCCAGGACAGCCAAGGCUACAUAGUGAGAACCUGUCUCAAAAAAAAAAAAAAAAAAAAAGAAGAAGAAGAAAAGAAAGAAAACUGGACAGAACUGGACAGCCAAGGACACUGCAAGCUGUACCCCAGAGGUUGGAGUCAGAGGCUCCGAUGCUUGCUGGGACUCAGGCCUCAGAGGCAGAACAGGGCUGGGAAUCAUUCCUGAGCCAAGUUUCAAGUCCCUCCGGGAGUGUCCACCAAGCGGCUGUUCCUGCUGCUUUGGCCUAAGGCGCGUUGGAGUUAGGGGACACAGCCCUGUCCCAGCCUGCGGUUGGCCGGCCUGGCGCCCAGCUCCCCUAGGCAUUCAAUAAGCAUGAAAUAAUAAUGAGAGCCAACGCUGCACGUUUCUCGCAGUCCAGCAGACGGCGCUCUAAGAGCCCAGCUCCCAGGGCAGGGCCGAGUCUGUGGGCGCGCAGCAGGGACCACAAGAGCACAGGACCCCAGUGGAAACAGACAUUACCCACAAGAGACACACCAGCCUGGUUGGUUACAUGCACGUCCCUCGUGGGGAGCCAGGAAGCGUUCCUCUGGAGGAGAGAAAGUGGGAAGGUCCAAUGAGUGGACAAGCCGCUUUCCCUGCGGCCUCCUCCGUUUCCCUCUAAGUUCAAGAGCUUCGGGCAACAAUUUCGCAAAAUUCCUCACGCACACCGGGAGCUCAGAACUCUCACACUGAUUCCUCCUGGGCCGUGCCUAACUAGAAGCCGAAGUUCAGAGGGCGCUCCUGCAAAGGCUAGCCUCGGACUACCUCCCUAUGACCUUGAACGUCCUCGUCCUUCACUUCAGUGCCGGGACUGCAGGCUUACAACAACAAGCCCAUUUAAGGGAUCCAGUCUAGGGAUACACAGUAUGCUAUGUAAACGCACUAUCAACUGAGCCAUAGCCAGAAUUCUUUUUAGACAAGGUCUCAUAUUGACCAGGCUGGCGAACUCAGAGAACUAUUUGCUCCUGCCUCCUGAGUUCUGGGAUUAAAGGCAUUUACCAGUCUCACUAUGUGUUCCUGGCUGUCCUGGAACUCAUCCUGUAGCUAAGGCUUACCUGGAAUUCACAACAGUCGCUCUGCCUCUGCCUCCAGUAUGCUGGGAUUAAAGAUGAGAGUUUCCUCCUUCUGGCCUCUACCUCCAGAUCCUCCUUCAGGCCUCUACCUGCCAAGGGCUUCGAGGUCAGGCACUCAACAGCUCCAUUCCUGGCAGAAUUUCCACCAUGAUGCUACAGUCUGGCCAACAGCAACGUGGUUGACAUUCACAGAACACAGUUGGGGAAUAGGAAUGAAAUAACAAGGAAACAGGUUUAGAAGUGAAGGCAUGCUGGUCUCCUGGCUUGCCUCAGCCUCUGCCUGCAGUUACUGCCCUCCUGAAAAGCUGGGAAGAGCUUGGGAACCCUGCCCAAGCCGAAUGGAUACAAACAACUCCUCUUUUUCCGCCUGACCCCACCGCAAGUAGCACCCCUUAAACUGAGGUAAUCUUGUCCCCAGGCUGAGUUUCUAGAUCCUGUAUCAAAGAUGGGGAGGGACGAACCUGGGUAUCUCACACUCAGAAAGAAAUGGAUUCCCUCAAGCCCCAGACGAAAUUCAGGGGCUCAGGUGAGCUGGAAGAGGCUGUGGGCAGCCCCAGAUGGUGAGGAAAACUCCCUCUAGAGCCUUCCGGUUUCCCCUGGCGCAGGGCUGGGAACGCUGUCGUUGGUUAGACGUCAGCGACACCCAGAGGCUGUGCAAAGAGACACUUGAGGUGGUGGAUUCUGGAUGAUUUCAGAGGGCUGCAGGCGCUGAGGAUGGUGUUGGAGUCUAAAGUCCCCAUACAGUGUCAAUUAUCAUCCACUUCUGGUCCCCAAGCAAGAACACGGCUGCAUCUUUGGCCACUUAUCAGCCCUCGGACUGCAGAAGUUCUUUCAAACCCGCCGCAGUGUUAAGUCAAGGAGCCUUCCGCUCCGGGGGUUCCAGAGGUAGACACCAAGUCCGAAGACAUGAGUUUCAUCCCCAGGAUCGUCUUUGUGGAAGAAGGCAAAUGACUUACAAAAGUUGAUUUCUGGCUUCAACAUGAGCACUCUACCACUCGAUGCCUGCCCCAUAAAUAAAUCAAUGUAAUACUGAUUUUUUUUUUUAUAAAUUCAGUCUACAUAGCCCUGGCUGUCCUGGUACUCACUAAGUAGACCAGGCUAGAUUCUGCCUCCUGAGUGCUGGGAUUAAAGGCAUGUUCCACCAUGCCUGGCCAAUAAAUGUAACUUUUUUUUUAAAGUACUGAAGCUGAUGAAAUAGCUCAGUGGUAAAGAUGUUUUCGGCAAAAGCUGAAUGACCAAAGUCUCAGCACCUACAGGUAAAAGGAGACAACCAGCUACAGCAAAUUAUCUUAUGAUUUUCACAUGUGCACCCUGGUACACACACACACACACUUUUAUUUUUAAAGGACUGGGAUCAGAGAGACAGCUCAGUUGAUAAAGGCGAUAGCCACUAAGCCUGACAACCAGAAUUUGAUCUGGGGGACCCACGUGGCAGAAGAAGAGAAUUGACUCCAGCAAGUUGUCCUGAUGCUCACAUGUGUACACACACACAAAAUUAAUAAAAUAUAAUAUUAUAAAACUGA
Mesocricetus auratus (golden hamster) is the source of this 2985-nucleotide long non-coding RNA. RefSeq lists it as uncharacterized. The record is from RefSeq and is a predicted model, not a curated record. Lineage: Eukaryota; Metazoa; Chordata; Mammalia; Rodentia; Cricetidae. The transcript is spliced from 6 exons.